This 80-nucleotide transfer RNA is filed under the name Ovis aries (sheep). It matches the Rfam family "tRNA". From Rfam's summary of the family: Transfer RNA (tRNA) molecules are approximately 80 nucleotides in length. Their secondary structure includes four short double-helical elements and three loops (D, anti-codon, and T loops). The record is from Rfam by way of RNAcentral. Lineage: Eukaryota; Metazoa; Chordata; Mammalia; Artiodactyla; Bovidae.
UCCCCGUUGGCUCAGCAGUAAAGAAUCUGCCUGCAAAGCAGGAGACCCAGGAGACCCAGGUUCAAUCCCUGGGUUGGGAA